Nycticebus coucang (slow loris) is the source of this 1045-nucleotide RNA transcript. It is a transcript of the gene named elongation of very long chain fatty acids protein 5-like, with no coding region annotated. NCBI's taxonomy places the organism in Eukaryota, Metazoa, Chordata, Mammalia, Primates, Lorisidae. The transcript has a single exon. The record is from RefSeq and is a predicted model, not a curated record.
AUGGAAAAUUUUGAUGCAUCACUUAGUCCCUAUUUCAAAGCAUUGCUAGGUACCUGAGAUACCAGAAUAAAAGGAUGGUUUCUUCUGGACAAUUACAUACCUACAUUUAUCAGUUCCCUCAUAUAUUUACUAAUUGUAUGGCUGGAACCAAAAUGCAUGAAGAAUAGACAGCCGUUCUCUUGCCGGGGUAUUUUAGUGGUGUAUAACCUUGGACUCACGCUGCUGUCUCUCUUUAUGUUCUGUGAGUUAGUAACAGGAGUAUGGGAAGGCAGAUACAACUUCUUCUGUCAGGGAACACGCAGCGCAGGAGAAUCAGAUACGAAGAUCAUCCGUGUCCACUGGUGAUACUACUUCUCCAAACUGAUUGAAUUUAUGGACAUCUUCUUCUUCAUCCUGCAUAAGAACAACCACCAGAUCACAGUGCUGCACGUCUACCACCGUGCCUCCAUGCUAAACAUCUGGUGGUUUGUGAUGAACUGGGUCCCCUGUGGCCACUCUUAUUUUGGUGCCACCCUGAACAGCUUCAUCCACGUCCUCAUGUACUCUUACUGCCUGUCUUCAGUCCCUUCCAUGUGCCCGUACCUGUGGUGGAAGAAGUACAUCACUCAGGGGCAGCUGCUUCAGUUUGUGCUGACAAUCGUCCAGACCAGCUGUGGGGUCAUCUGGCCAUGCACAUUCCCUCUCGGUUGGUUGUAUUUCCAGAUCGGAUACAUGAUUUCCCUGAUUGCUCUCUUCACAAACUUCUAUAUUCAGACCUACAAUAGGAAGGGGGCCUCCUGGAGGAAAGACCACCUGAAGGACCACCAGAACGGGUCCAUGGCUGCUGCGAAUGGACACACCAACAGCUUUCCUUACCUGGAAAACAAUGUGAAGCCAAGGAAGCCGAGGAAGGAUUGAAAUCCAAGAGUUGAAAACCUCCAAACCACGUCAUCUGAUUGUAAGCACAAUAUGAGUUGUGCCCGAUGCUCGUUAACAGCUGCUGUAACUAGUCCAGCCUACACUAGUGUGACUCAUGUAGGACCCCUUUCAUCAGUUCAAAACCCUU